Molecule: ribosomal RNA, 372 nt
Filed under: uncultured bacterium
Lineage: Bacteria
Description: bacterial SSU rRNA
Rfam family: Bacterial small subunit ribosomal RNA
Source: RNAcentral
AAGUCGAACGCAGCAGCUUCGGCUGGCUGCGUGGCGAACGGCUGAGGAACACGUGGGUGACCUGCCCCAGAGUGGGGGAUACCCCGUCGAAAGACGGGAUAAUCCCGCAUACGCUCUACGGAGGAAAGCCCCUACGGACGCUCUGGGAGGGGCCUGCGGCCCAUCAGGUUGUUGGUGUGGUAACGGCGCACCAAGCCACUGACGGGUACCCGGUCUGAGAGGACGGCCGGGCAGACUGGGACUGAGACACGGCCCAGACUCCUACGGGAGGCAGCAGCAAGGAAUUUUCGGCAAUGGGCGCAAGCCUGACCGAGCAACGCCGCGUGCGGGAUGACGGCCUUCGGGUUGUAAACCGCUUUUCGGGGGGACGAC